Long non-coding RNA from Rhagoletis pomonella (apple maggot), 447 nucleotides. RefSeq lists it as uncharacterized. NCBI's taxonomy places the organism in Eukaryota, Metazoa, Arthropoda, Insecta, Diptera, Tephritidae. The record is from RefSeq and is a predicted model, not a curated record. The transcript is spliced from 2 exons.
UGUACGCUUUCUACAACGGUUUUCUAUAAUUUUUUUGAGAUCAAUACUAAGAUUGUAAUAGAAUGCUAAGAAUAAAUAGCGAUUCGUUCGUUCAGUUUUGAAGUAUUACCAACCCUACUUUCUGCAUAUUAAACGAACCCUUCGACUGCAAAUGAGUCAGAAUUCGGCAAGAUGGAGCCUUUCGCUUGGUUUUUACGAAGUACAUUCAGCACGUGUAUAAAAAGUGCCAAGCUAAUUUCAUAAAAUGUUAGUAUAACGUGGAAAAUAGUAUUUAAAAAUAUGUAUUGUAUGCCGAAGUUAGGUUUAUGAAAAUUCCCCUGUUGGUGUUUGCGCAUUGCUAGGAAGAAAGAAAAGAGAAAUACAAGUUUUAUGGAAGAACAGUAAUGCCGAAAUGGUUGUCGAUGUCGGGAAUUGUACGGUCGAUGCCUCGUCAAUUGUAACAUAUGU